RNAcentral lists this long non-coding RNA (1374 nucleotides) under Anser brachyrhynchus (Pink-footed goose). Its description in RNAcentral is "lncRNA (ENSABRG00000010541.1)". Lineage: Eukaryota; Metazoa; Chordata; Aves; Anseriformes; Anatidae. The record is from RNAcentral.
AUGUCUAGCACAAGCAAGUCAACUCCACACCUCAAGACUUCCUCCACCAAGAAGGAAAGAAGGGUAAUGGUCGUAGGUGACUCCCUUCUGAGGGGAACAGAAGGCCCCAUAUGUCAGCCAGCCCCUACCCAUAGGAAAGUCUGCUGCCUCCCUGGGGCCUGGGUCAGGGACAUUACCAGAAAACUUUCUGAUCUUGUUCUCCCCUCCCAUUAUUACCCCUUAGUGAUAAUUCAGGCUGGCAGUGCUGAAAUAGCUGAGAGAAGCCUGAAGGCUAUCAAGAGGGACUUCAGGGUAUUGGGGCGGUUAGUGGAUGGAGUAGGAGUACAGGUGGUGUUUUCCUCUAUCCCUUCAGUGGUGGGGAGGGAUACUGAGCAGACCUGGAAGGCCUGCCUCAUCAGUACAUGGCUGAGAGGCUGGUGCCAUCGCAGGAAUUUUGUUUUGUUUCAUUUUGUUUUUUGGUCAUGGGGAGGUUUACUUAGCACCUGGCCUGAUGGCUGCAGAUGCGUCCCACCUGUCUCAAAGGGGAAAAAGGACGCUAGUCCACGAGCUGGCAGGGAUCAUCUAGAGGGCUUUAAACUAGGUACAAAGGGGAACAGGGGGGAAAUGAGGCUCCAUAGAGAUGAGCCUGGGGGGGCAGUCCCAGGGUUGGUGGUGAGAGCAGUAGUGCAACUGAAGUGCAUCUACACUAAUGCAUGCAGCAUGGGAAACAAACAGGAGGAGCUGGAAGCCAUUGUGUGGCAGGCAAACUAUGACCUAGUUGCCAUCACUGAAACGUGGUGGGACCACUCCCACAACUGGAGUGCUGCAAUGGAUGCCUACAAGCUCUUCAGAAAGGACAGGCAACUCAGGAGGGGCCGUGGCAUGGCUGUCUGUGUUAGAGAGUUUUUCGAUGCUGUUGAGCUCGGGGUUGGGAAUGAUAAGGUAGAGUCCCUGUGGGUAAGGAUCAGGGGGUUGGCCAACACGGCAGACAUCCUUGUGGGGGUCUGUUACAGACCGCCAAACCAGGAUGAAGAGACAGAUGAGGCAUUCUGUAAGCAGCUGGUGAAAAUCGCUCAAUCGCCAAUGCCUGUCCUCAUGGGGGACUUUAACUUCCGAGACAUAUGCUGGAAAUACAGUACAGCCCUGAGGAAGCAGUCUGGAAGAUUCUUGGAAUGCAUGGAAGACAGCUUCCUGACUCAGCUGGUUAGUGAGCCUACCAGAGGGGGUGCACCACUAGACCUGCUAUUCAUGAAGAGAGAAGGACUGGUGGAAGACGUAGUAGUCAGGAUAUGUCUUGGGCAGAGUCACCAUGACAUGGCAGAGUCCUCCAUUCUUGGUGAAGUCAGGAGGGGCAUCAGUAAAACUGCUACCCUGGACUUUCAGAGGUCAGACUGA